GAUGAACGCUAGCGGCAGGCCUAACACAUGCGAGUCGAGGGAGGAGCUUUCGGGCUUCGACCGGCGUACGGGUGCGUAACGCGUAUACAAUCUGCCUUUCACAUAGGGAUAGCCCGAAGAAAUUUGGAUUAAUACCUAAUGGUAUAUAGGAGUGGCAUCACCUUUAUAUUAAAGCUGAGGCGGUGAAAGAUGAGUAUGCGUUCUAUUAGCUAGUUGGAGAGGUAACGGCUCCCCAAGGCGACGAUAGAUAGGGGUUCUGAGAGGGAUAUCCCCCACACUGGUACUGAGAUACGGACCAGACUCCUACGGGAGGCAGCAGUGAGGAAUAUUGGACAAUGGUCGGAAGACUGAUCCAGCCAUGCCGCGUGCAGGAAGACGGCCUUAUGGGUUGUAAACUGCUUUUGCAGGGGAAGAAUAAGGAGUACGUGUACUUUGAUGACGGUACUCUGCGAAUAAGCAUCGGCUAACUCCGUG
This 474-nucleotide ribosomal RNA is filed under the name uncultured bacterium. Its description in RNAcentral is "partial 16S ribosomal RNA". It matches the Rfam family "Bacterial small subunit ribosomal RNA", at positions 28 to 507 of the family's 1533-position model. The record is from RNAcentral.